GAUGAAGAACGUAGCGAAAUGCGAUAAGUAACGUGAAUUGCAGAAUUCAGUGAAUCAUCGAAUCUUUGAACGCACAUUGCGCCCCCUGGUAUUCCGGGGGGCAUGCCUGUUCGAGCGUCAUUACAACCCUCAAGCUCUGCUUGGUAUUGGGCCCCGCCAGUUCUGGCGGGCCCUAAAGUCAGUGGCGGUGCCUUCCGGCUCCGAGCGUAGUAAUUCUUCUCGCUCUGGAGACCCGGUUGUGUGCUUGCCAACAACCCCCAAUUUUUUAAGGUUGACCUCGGAUCAGGUAGGGAUACCCGCUGAACUUAAGCAUAUCAAUAAGCGGAGGA
RNAcentral lists this unclassified non-coding RNA (329 nucleotides) under soil metagenome. RNAcentral describes it as "partial contains 5.8S ribosomal RNA, internal transcribed spacer 2, and large subunit ribosomal RNA". The stretch from base 1 to 120 matches the Rfam family "5.8S ribosomal RNA", at positions 35 to 154 of the family's 154-position model. The record is from RNAcentral.